GUUUAAUUAGUGCAGAGGUCAUAUUGCAACUAUAUCUUGGUGCCCUUAUUAUAGAAUGGAUAUCAAUUCACUGGAGUCGGUGCAGCGAUGGACAUAAAUGAUUCCGGGAAUUAGUAAACUUCCAUAUCAAGGUAAAGAAACUAAACUUGUGUUCCCUAGAAAGACGGAGUGCGGGGAUAUAUGAUAGAGGUAUUUAAGUGGGUGAAAGAAAUCAAAGGAGAUAUAAAGUUCAUAUAUCCGAGCAGGAUAGGGCCCGUAGCAACGGAAUGAAGUCGGAUAAGUUUAGGUUUAGGAGGGAGAUAGGAAGGAACUGGUUCACAAAUAGGGUGGUAGAUGAGUGGAACAAGCUUAGUAACUUUGUAGUAAGUACUGGAAUGCUGGAAGUUUUAAAAGGGGGCUAGAUAGAUUCAUGGAUGAUAGUGGUAGUAACUCGACGGGAGCUUAAUGCACAGGCUAACCGGCCUAUUGCGGACUCAUGUUCAUACGAUGCAGGUGUGGGGUGUAGGUGUAUGGUGCAGGUUUGUGGUGGUGUACAGUAAAAAAACGUUGACCAAUGAUAGCUACUGCUUAUUUCCGUAAACUAUUGUAGGAAAUCGUCAAUGGAACAGUUUUAAGGAAAUGGUUUGAGAUAUUCUAUUACUUUCGUAUGCAUUGUUUUGUUAUUUUGAGACGUUUUACUUGUGGAGUUUGUUAAUUGACGUUACUGUUUGAAAUUAUUUUUGUUACUUUUAGGAACAUUGGUACAGUAUUUUCAUGAAGAUUUUUGUUACUUUAAAGACUUCUAAAGUCUUUUCUGUAGUUUUUUUAUUACUUUUACGAUAAUUUUACUAAUUUUGGUAUUCGUGCAAGUAUUUUGGUAGUUUUGUUAUUUUCACGUUACUUUGUUUUUAGUGUACUUUUGUGCCAAGAUAAAUUAAAGUUUUUACUUCGUCCUGGGUAAUAAUUGAGUAGGUGGAAACUUUCAAAAAUUGUUUUAUAGAAAUUAUUCAUACUUGUGUCUUGAUACAUAGUUUACAUUAAUAUUUAGUCUUGUAUUCUAGGUUUUAUUCCACUUAUUCAUAUAUUACAUUAAUAGUUAGUCUUCAUUCUAGUUUUUUUGCAACUUGGUGUUCAUAUUGGACGUUGGUGUUCAUAUUGGACGUUGAUGCUCAUAUUGGACGUUGGUGUUCAUAUUGGACGUUGAUGCUCAUAUUGGACGUUGGUGUUCAUAUUGGACGUUGAUGCUCAUAUUGGAUGUUGAUGCUCAUAAUGUAUUCUAUUUUGUAUACAAUUUAAUAUUUUACGUUAAUAUUUAGUAAUUAUUAGUUUUUAUACAACUUAUUCAUAUUUUACGUUAAUAUUUAGUCUUUAUUCUUGUCAUUAUACAUUUUAUUUAUUUUAAGUCGAUAUGAAGUCAUUAUUCUAGUGUUUUUAUUUACAUUAAUAAUAUGUUGUUAAUAUUUAGUCUAGUAUACUAGUUUUUUAAAGUUAUUUACAGUACAGUAUAUUGUUAAAAUUUAGUCUUAUUCUAGUUUUGUUGCUAUUUAUUCAUAUUUUAAUAUUUAGUCCUAUACUAGUUUUUCUACAAUUUAUUAGUUUACGUUAAAAUUUAGUCUAUAUUGUAGUUUUUAUACAACUUCAUAUUUUACGUUAAUAUUCGUAUUUUACAUUAAUAUUAGUUUUUAUUCCAGUUUUUGUACAACUUUAUCAUAUUUUACAUUAAUUUUUAAUAUUUUUUCUAGUUUUUAUACUUCAUGUUAAUAUUUGGUCUUUAUUCUAGUUUAUACAAUUUAUUGCUUGUCACUGUUGAAGGUACAGGACAACCCUCCUCGUUACUGCCUCCUUGAUCGUAAACGUUGACGGUAUUGAAGCUGUCCUCCAUUUGUGGGAUUUGGGGUCAUUUUUAUUAAAGAUGGAUCCAGUUGGUUGUGUUGAUUACUGUUGUGUUAAAGGUGUAGAAGAAAAAGACCAGAUUGCUGCCUCGGUGAUCAUAGUUAAGGAUACAUGAAGUUCCUUGUGUCGUCCAUCGAGGACGGCGAUAUGAAGAUGCAGGACAUAACAACCGUGAGAGUGUCUUCAGGCAAACGGAACUCUUGCUGCACUACAUUAGAAACCAAACUCUUUCUGCAGUUACAACUUAUGGUCCGGGCUAGUCUCAUGGUCGUUUGUUUACUAGUGUAGAUUAAUGAUCUGGGUUCACAAUUUAAAAAUUAAGAGUAAUGAGUAAUUAGUGUUAAUUGCCUUUGAAAUUAUUUUAGUAGGUUAUGUUCUGACCUCGUAGUUUUAAAUGGCCUUUAUAUACAUUUUUAUAAGUACGUAUAGGGUGUUUACUGAGCUAGAAAAGCCAGGAAAUAUUACAAAUACAGUAUAUGUGAAAUUUUAUUUGAAUUCAGUUCAACUUCAAAAUGUUACGUUGACAGCAAUCUUGCCAUAAAGUAAUGCUGUACUGUCACAUGUGAUGGUCUAAAACAUAUAUUUGAUUAAUUGGAGUAUGUAAGUCUUCAUAAAGUGAAGCUGCAUCAAUUUUAUGCUUUUAUGUAUUUUCUACUUGUGCUCAUCAAGACUGGUCUGGCACAGCACAACACAUGUAUUACAAAAUAAAAGUAAC
This 2587-nucleotide long non-coding RNA is filed under the name Homarus americanus (American lobster). RNAcentral's name for it is "uncharacterized LOC121863872, transcript variant X2". Lineage: Eukaryota; Metazoa; Arthropoda; Malacostraca; Decapoda; Nephropidae. The record is from RNAcentral.